Molecule: long non-coding RNA, 583 nt
Filed under: Parus major (Great Tit)
Lineage: Eukaryota; Metazoa; Chordata; Aves; Passeriformes; Paridae
Description: lncRNA (ENSPMJG00000016983.1)
Source: RNAcentral
CACUUACCAGGUUUUGCUUAGGCACCUCAUCCUGGAUAUUCCAUUCCUGGGCAUCUUUUGACAAUCAAUCCUAUCAGGUUGCCCAGUAAUUUAUUGGCUUAGUGGCACUGACAGUCAUUCCAAUAGUAGCCUAUAGGAAGUAAGGUUUGAGUUCAUGUUUCCAGAGUUGAAAGUCUAGGGCAAUUUAACCCAUUUUUUCACACUUGUAAUUUUCAGAGAAGCAGACAUUAUUUGAACAAGAUUCUGGAUUCUGAAUUUCACAAAGAAGGUGCAAGGCUAUGAUUUUUUCUUCAAGUUUCAUCAAAUUUUUCUGCAUAAGAUGAAUGAAUGAAUAAGUUACUAACUAACUAACUAAAGACGCCCUCAUCAAGCAGCUUUUACUGGCUGAACCAAGUGUCCUAUGGCCUUCAUCAAGCUGCGCUCUCUCUGAGGUAACCAGAUUUUUUAUCCCAUUGAUAUGUUUUCCAAUUGAAACAGAGAAUCGGUCAGCAAGGAAGGCAUCCUAGAACCAUUCUAGGACCAUGCUAGGAGCCUAAACCUCAAAAAUUCAGGCAUGCCAACACUUCCAAGCUGGAUUUAAGGA